Molecule: small RNA, 1910 nt
Filed under: Pan troglodytes (chimpanzee)
Lineage: Eukaryota; Metazoa; Chordata; Mammalia; Primates; Hominidae
Description: processed transcript
Source: RNAcentral
AUAACCAUGAACUUCCAUAUCUGUCAUAGGAAAGAGGUUGGCCUCAGCAACAAUGAGGGAUAAUUCUUUCAAGAAAGGAAUGAAGAGAGAAGUUAGAUGGAAAAGAGAUUUUUAAGGUCAAAAGAAGCAGCUGAAGAACAUGUGUAGGACAGCCUUAGGAGUUACUACACUUCAAGACCUGGGUGUCUGCUGGAGGAAGGAACAUGACCCUGCGGAGAUGUUAAGGGUUGGGAGAGCUGAGCUUGGAGGCUGGAAGCCCAGCUGGGAGGCUAUUGUUAAAGAGGUUGCUGCAGCAACUGGUCACACAGUAGUGUUGGUAGACCAGACAGAGGACAUCCUGGCAAAAUCCAAAAAGGGAAUUGAGGAAAGCCUUAGGAAAGUGGCAAAGAAGAAGUUUGCAGAAAACCCUAAGGCCGGCGAUGAAUUUGUGGAGAAGACCCUGAGCACCAUAGUGACCAGCACGGAUGCAGCCUCCGUUGUCCACAGCACAGACUUGGUGGUGGAAGCCAUCGUGGAGAAUCUGAAGGUGAAAAACGAGCUCUUCAAAAGGCUGGACAAGUUUGCUGCUGAACAUACAAUCUUUGCCAGCAACACUUCCUCCUUGCAGAUUACAAGCAUAGCCAAUGCCACCACCAGACAAGACCGAUUCGCUGGCCUCCAUUUCUUCAACCCAGUGCCGGUCAUGAAACUUGUGGAGGUCAUUAAAACACCAAUGACCAGCCAGAAGACAUUUGAAUCUUUGGUAGACUUUAGCAAAGCCCUAGGAAAGCAUCCUGUUUCUUGCAAGGACACUCCUGGGUUUAUUGUGAACCGCCUCCUGGUUCCAUACCUCAUGGAAGCAAUCAGGCUGUAUGAACGAGGUGACGCAUCCAAAGAAGACAUUGACACUGCUAUGAAAUUAGGAGCCGGUUACCCCAUGGGCCCAUUUGAGCUUCUAGAUUAUGUCGGACUGGAUACUACGAAGUUCAUCGUGGAUGGGUGGCAUGAAAUGGAUGCAGAGAACCCAUUACAUCAGCCCAGCCCAUCCUUAAAUAAGCUGGUAGCAGAGAACAAGUUCGGCAAGAAGACUGGAGAAGGAUUUUACAAAUACAAGUGAUGUGCAGCUUCUCCGGCUCUGAGAAGAACACCUGAGAGCGCUUUCCAGCCAGUGCCCCGAGUGCCUGUGGGAAUGCUCUUUGGUCAGACAUUCCCUCACACAGCACAGUUUAAUAAAUGUGCAUUUUGAUUGUAAUCUAUCGAAGUGAUUAUUACACCAGUUACAGCAGUAAUAGAUUCUCCAUUAAGAAAUAAUUCCCUUUUUUAGUCUGUUCAUUUCUGUGUAUUUUCUAAACAGCUUUACACCCUUGGUGCCUUGGAGCAAACAUGUUUUUUGAACCUUGUCAUUUUUGUGAAGAAUUGCCUGGAUUCCUUCUCUCAUCAACGGGAAAGUACUUCCUCUGAGAGUGCGAGUGCACCAUGCUCACUGUUGCUGCGUGGGAGAGUCACAAGCCACUGGCAAGCAAGUGGUAUAGUCUGUGAAGCACUGCAGCGAGCAGCACCUGGAUCUUGCCUUUAUGAGAACAUUUUACUACCUGCAGCUUUGAGUCUUGCCCUACAUUUUGGGCAUGACAUAAGAUGUGUCUUUAUUCAGCUCAUCGUGAAGAUGCUGCUGCAGAAUGGGUCAGCAUAUCUCUGUUUGCAUGGUUUGCAGGAGGUCGGUUUUCAUGGUCAUUCAGUUCCACAGAUCUGAAUGAUUACUGUCUGUCUGUGUCUUUUUUCCAUGAGAAAUCACUGUUGCAAAUUGCCUAUAAAUUGACUCUACUAAACUAACAAUGUUUCAGUCUGAAAAUUUGAAUUGAAAAAAAUGUAUAAUAUAAAAUUGUAAUACACUCAAAUGAUUAUAAAAGUAAAAGUUGGUAAUUUAGGCAGAA